UACGUAGGGGGCUAGCGUUGUCCGGAAUCAUUGGGCGUAAAGAGCGUGUAGGCGGUCCGGUAAGUCCGCUGUGAAAGUCGGGGGCUCAACCCUCGAAUGCCGGUGGAUACUGUCGGGCUAGAGUGCGGAAGAGGCGAGUGGAAUUCCUGGUGUAGCGGUGAAAUGCGUAGAUAUCUGGAGGAACACCGGUGGCGAAGGCGGCAUCCUGGACCAACACUGACGCUGAGGAGCGAAAGCCAGGGGAGCAAACGGG
This 253-nucleotide ribosomal RNA is filed under the name uncultured bacterium. Its description in RNAcentral is "partial 16S ribosomal RNA". It matches the Rfam family "Bacterial small subunit ribosomal RNA", at positions 524 to 776 of the family's 1533-position model. The record is from RNAcentral.